UAACGAAUCUUCCGCAAUGGGCGCAAGCCUGACGGAGCAAUGCCGCGUGUGGGAUGAAGCGUCUCUGACGUGUAAACCACUGUCAGGGGUUAGAAACAAUGAUCAACCCCAAAGGAAGUGGCGACUAACUCUGUGCCAGCAGUCGCGGUAAUACAGAGGCCACAAGCGUUAGUCGGAAUCACUGGGCUUAAAGGGCGCGUAGGCGGCAAUUCAAGUCAUCUGUGAAAUCUCCGGGCUUAACUCGGAACGGUCAGAUGAUACUGCUUUGCUAGAGUGCAGAAGGGGCAAUCGGAAUUCUUGGUGUAGCGGUGAAAUGCGUAGAUAUCAAGAGGAACACCUGAGGUGAAGACGGGUUGCUGGGCUGACACUGACGCUGAGGCGCGAAAGCCAGGGGAGCAAACGGGAUUAGAUACCCCCGUAGUCCCUGAGCGGGCUGGCAAGGCGCAU
RNAcentral lists this ribosomal RNA (447 nucleotides) under uncultured bacterium. RNAcentral's name for it is "bacterial SSU rRNA". It matches the Rfam family "Bacterial small subunit ribosomal RNA", at positions 355 to 825 of the family's 1533-position model. The record is from RNAcentral.